Molecule: long non-coding RNA, 666 nt
Organism: Lepidothrix coronata (blue-crowned manakin)
Lineage: Eukaryota; Metazoa; Chordata; Aves; Passeriformes; Pipridae
Exons: 3
Source: RefSeq, a predicted model, not a curated record
GAUGCGGCUGAAGUUGUGCAGGGUCCGGUUCCAGCGGAGCUGCGCCGCCGCCUCCGACGGGCUCUCGAGGGCCGAGAAGACGGUGGCGCCGGCGCUCAGCUGGGAUCCAGUCCUCAGCAUGUUCCCAGAAGUACUUGCCUUGCUGCAGCAGAGCGUGGUGAAGAGUGGAGGAGGAAUGUCUGUCUGGGAGCCCGGAAUCCUGAAUCUCGUGAUGCUACUGAGACAACAAUGAUGGGAAUGAGUCCUCCUUACAUUUCAUGUCCCUUCCUGCAUUUGACAGACCCUGGGGCUACAGUUCCUAGAAAUCUCUCCAGCCAGUGGCAUUGAAAUGAAACCUGCUAAGCUGACACUCACUCCAUCAGGAUGAGGCUUUACAGAAGUUCAGGACAGGCAGCCUUUGAUCACAGCACUGAAGAAAAUAUUGGCAAUCCCUUUGACCUGCCAGAUUUGUUUUCUAGAAUGAGAAGCUUCAGAGAGCGAUCCUUGCUGAUUACACCUGUCAGUUAUCAACAGACAGGUCAAAAUGUCCCUUCCUCCCUGGAUUUGUCCCUCUUCUUUUUUUCAGGUGCGUGCUGGCUGAUGGUCCUCUGAGACCAUUUACCCUGCUAAGCUUUUCCUAAGCAGGUUCCACUUGUGACUAGGCAACUUCAUACAAUUUGGUUUGUU